GGAAAUUUGAGAGAAACAGAAGGGAAGUGUACAAAUAAAAAAGAAAACAAGUUCUCUGCCUCAUUGCUCUUAGAUAAAAAGGACAAUGUGCCCAUGAGAGUAACGACUGUUCCCCCCCUUUAUCGUUACCAAUACCUUUUCUUUUAUGCUGUUAUUUAACGUGGGUAAUGGUAACGCCGCCCUCAAAAACCUGUAUUUAAAGGCCGCCUUGUUACCUAAUAGCUGUUAUUUAAAACCAUGGUCUCUGUUCAUGCCUCGUGUAAUAUAUAUGGCUAGAAAUGUUAUUUUCCUGGAUAUAGGCUCGUAAGUUGAAAGAUUGCAUGCUUAGAUAAGUCUUUGCUCAUUAGAGGGCUAGAGUCCAUGAUUGAUGGAUCAGAGCCUACAUUGAUUAAGAUGGUUGGUUUUCUCAUAUUUUCUUUAGCUUGGUGAAAAAAUCAGUGCAAGAUUACUCUAUAUCGAAGCAAUUCUUUGAUAGUCCCAUUAGGGGUUCUGCAAUAUGACCUAUCUAAACAGCCCAUGCAUCCAGCCAUAUGCUUCCGCUGGGCAAUUAAGAUCUCUAUGAUCCUCUAUUACAGUUCAACUAGAAUAAACUCACAGAUUGUCGAAAUUGACUUGCAUACUUGUUUUUCGUGUAAAUGUAGGAUUGGCAGAAUUAGUGUCAUUGAAUGUUUCAAAUUCUCUCAUAACCAAUGAGGGAUUGCGGUAUCUGAAGCCUUUAAAGAAUUUACGCUCAUUAUCUUUAGAGUCUUGCAAGGUGACUGCAUCAGAAAUCAAGAAGCUUCAGUUAACAGCACUUCCCAAUUUGGUAAGCUUUCGGCCUGAACAUUGAGAAAGCAAUAGUAAGACAUCCUGUAAAUAUCCUGCCAUCAACCUUGUGUAGCUUCAUGUACAGUGUAAUAAAUUUUUAUUGAAAGAAACAUAUAGGUUGGGCACAAGAAUGUGAUUGGUGUGUAUGAUUCCAGUGGUAUAUGUAAAUAUGGCUUGCUGCUGAUUGAACUUUACGUAGUGGCUGGUGCUCAGUGCAAACUACUGUCUAUACGCUGUAACUGAACUGCAGUUUGCAGUGUCAAACUCGGGUGGUGGAAUUUAAUUAAACAUGCCAGAAAUAUGCUAGUAAAUAAUAUUCUCAGAAUCAUCCUUGUAUUGUUUGUAUAGUUCAUAUGUUUCAGGCGAAAACAUUCUGGUUCAGUUAAUGAUGGUAUUCCGAUCUUUAUUUAUAUGCACAA
RNAcentral lists this unclassified non-coding RNA (1226 nucleotides) under Hevea brasiliensis (rubber tree). Lineage: Eukaryota; Viridiplantae; Streptophyta; Magnoliopsida; Malpighiales; Euphorbiaceae. The record is from RNAcentral.